This 120-nucleotide microRNA precursor is filed under the name Podarcis lilfordi (Lilford's wall lizard). Lineage: Eukaryota; Metazoa; Chordata; Lepidosauria; Squamata; Lacertidae. The record is from RNAcentral.
UUGUUGGAACUCAUUUCUCUCUCUCUCUCUCUCUCUCUCUCUCACACACACACACACACACACACACACACGGAGAGAGAGAGAGAGAGAGAGAGAGAGAGAGAGAAAUUAAGGGGAAUU